AUGCCCAAGCUCAUCACCGUAUCUCUUGUCAGUGCAGCCGAAGAUAAUGUCAUCCACAUAGAUUUGGCAUACAAACAGUUCACCAUCAUAUGUGUUCGUGAAGAGUGUGGGAUCCAGAGAACCAGGUUUGAAGCCUUUGCUAUUCAGGAAGCCUUUGAGUGUGUCAUACCAAGCGCGAGGUGCUUGUUUGAGGCCAUGCAAUGCCUUGUUGAGAUUGUACACCAUGUUAGGACGCUUUGGGUCUUCAAAACCAGGUGGUUGUGCAACAUACACUUCUUCAAUUUUGCCAUUGAGGAAGGCGCUCUUUACAUCCAUUUGAUAUAG
This 324-nucleotide ribosomal RNA is filed under the name Triticum aestivum (bread wheat). RNAcentral describes it as "partial small subunit ribosomal RNA". The record is from RNAcentral. Lineage: Eukaryota; Viridiplantae; Streptophyta; Magnoliopsida; Poales; Poaceae.